Long non-coding RNA from Armigeres subalbatus, 1610 nucleotides. RefSeq lists it as uncharacterized. Lineage: Eukaryota; Metazoa; Arthropoda; Insecta; Diptera; Culicidae. The record is from RefSeq and is a predicted model, not a curated record. The transcript has 3 exons.
UGGUGCAUUGGAAGAGAUUUUUUGCUGCUCGUUCAGCAGAGGUCUCUCUGCCGUGCUCGACCGACUGAUGCGAUUAUUUUUUGUUUACAUGAAAUGCGCAACAGUUGCGAUAAUAAUUUGGAAACAGUACAGUAAGAAAAACAAAAGGAUGCAGAUGAGUUAUGUUGGAUAAGAGCAGCAUCCAGUUUUAUUUGCAGAGUGCAAAACUGAUUUCAAUAGCUGAUAUGUGAUAAACAGAACAUUCCAUUUUGUGUGCUUCGGUGUCAAACGCCAAAUACCAUGACAUUUUCGUUCACUUCCCACUUCCAUCGUUUGGCGGAUAAUUAACAACAAUCGAUUGUUGGAGCCUUUGGAAACCAUUGAAAACCAACUACUGCACGCAAUCACAUAUUUUUGAGAAAGUAUCUGCUCGUUUUUGCACUAUCACUGUUAUUUUUUUUUUGCGAGAAUGUGAAAGAGACGAAAGAUAAGCCGACGGCGAUUAUUUGUUCCAACAGGUUAUUCUCUCGUCCGUUUUCUUUGCACCUUAACAGAUUAUCAGAUUUUUUUUCAAGACCAUGACAUUCACACAACCAUCAAUUCCUACAUGUUUGGCCCAUCUUAUCCUAGCUGGAGUCACGGGAUGGUCGCUAAAGCAUCUACCCGUUUGUUACGAGCAAAGUUCUUCUUGUGGAUACAAUGAAUGCCACUUUGUACCACUCAUGCUGAUCCUGUUAAUUUUUCUGCUAUGUCACAGUUUACUGGGAAUUUUUCGUUACAGCCAUCCGGAGCCCCACAAAAAUCUGCGGAAAAUGUAUGAUUUCUCUGCUUUGCUGGUCAUGAAUUUUCCAUUGCCGUUGCUGAACACACAACUUUAUUUCAAAUACCGAAUGGGUAAUGGUUCUAUUCUGACCCCCUACAGUUAUUUGUUGAUUAGUAUAUUGGUACCAUUCCUGUCCACGUGUAUAUAUUCGGAACUAAGUCAACGACAUAAAAGGCAGCACAUAGCCACUUUGGUUACUCUUGUCAGCUUGACUGUGCUUUCGUGGAUAUCAUUUUCCAACGAUAAUUUUUGGGGCUUCGGCUUAGCUCUAUCAUAUGGUAUGAAAUAUUUUGCCUUACCCAGAUUGGCCGAACGUUAUAGUGUCCCAUUUGUCGAUCUGCACACUUACGGAUUGGGAUUCUUUGAGGUUUUUGCAAUCAAUGCUGUAAUAGAUGCUGACCUUUAUCGAACUGAGCUAAUUAUUCAAUAAAGAAGCGUACAUCAAUCAGAUUAUGAUAGAGCUAGCACUAAACACAACAGCAAACUGCUUAUUCCAGAUACUUUUUAUACUAGUGAAUAUAAAUAAGGAAAUUUGUUAUAUAUUUUUAUACAUGUUUAUUAUUUCUGAGAAGAUUAGUGUGUAGAAUGCUUAAUAGCUUGAAAACAAUUUUUCAUAUAUAGCUACUUAUACUAAACUAGAUAAUCAAAAGAGAAAAAGCCUAACAUAUAUAAAACUGAAACAAAACGAGUAGAAAUUAGUAGCUUUUUACAAAGUUCUAUAUUCAUAUACAAUGUUUAUAUAUUAGUACAAUAUAAUACAUUUUCAUAAUAUUUUUGCAAGCAAUUAAAUUUUGCACAGAAUUUUAAA